Molecule: ribosomal RNA, 797 nt
Filed under: Didymella sp.
Lineage: Eukaryota; Fungi; Ascomycota; Dothideomycetes; Pleosporales; Didymellaceae
Description: partial large subunit ribosomal RNA
Rfam family: Eukaryotic large subunit ribosomal RNA
Source: RNAcentral
AGUGAAGCGGCAACAGCUCAAAUUUGAAAUCUGGCGUCUUUGGCGUCCGAGUUGUAAUUUGCAGAGGGCGCUUUGGCAUUGGCAGCGGUCCAAGUUCCUUGGAACAGGACGUCACAGAGGGUGAGAAUCCCGUACGUGGUCGCUAGCCUUUACCGUGUAAAGCCCCUUCGACGAGUCGAGUUGUUUGGGAAUGCAGCUCUAAAUGGGAGGUAAAUUUCUUCUAAAGCUAAAUACUGGCCAGAGACCGAUAGCGCACAAGUAGAGUGAUCGAAAGAUGAAAAGCACUUUGGAAAGAGAGUUAAAAAGCACGUGAAAUUGUUGAAAGGGAAGCGCUUGCAGCCAGACUUGCCUGUAGUUGCUCAUCCGGGUUUCUACCCGGUGCACUCUUCUAUAGGCAGGCCAGCAUCAGUUUGGGCGGUUGGAUAAAGGUCUCUGUCAUGUACCUCCUCUCGGGGAGAACUUAUAGGGGAGACGACAUGCAACCAGCCCGGACUGAGGUCCGCGCAUCUGCUAGGAUGCUGGCGUAAUGGCUGUAAGCGGCCCGUCUUGAAACACGGACCAAGGAGUCUAACAUCUAUGCGAGUGUUUGGGUGUCAAGCCCGAGCGCGUAAUGAAAGUGAACGGAGGUGGGAACCUUUCGGGGUGCACCAUCGACCGAUCCUGAUGUCUUCGGAUGGAUUUGAGUAAGAGCAUAGCUGUUGGGACCCGAAAGAUGGUGAACUAUGCUUGAAUAGGGUGAAGCCAGAGGAAACUCUGGUGGAGGCUCGCAGCGGUUCUGACGUGCAAAUCGAUCGUCA